AUUGAACGCUGGCGGCAGGCCUAACACAUGCAAGUCGAACGGUAACAGGAAGAAGCUUGCUUCUUUGCUGACGAGUGGCGGACGGGUGAGUAAUGUCUGGGAAACUGCCUGAUGGAGGGGGAUAACUACUGGAAACGGUAGCUAAUACCGCAUAACGUCGCAAGACCAAAGAGGGGGACCUUCGGGCCUCUUGCCAUCGGAUGUGCCCAGAUGGGAUUAGCUAGUAGGUGGGGUAACGGCUCACCUGGGCGACGAUCCCUAGCUGGUCUGAGAGGAUGACCAGCCACACUGGAACUGAGACACGGUCAAGACUCCUACGGGAGGCAGCAGUGGGGAAUAUUGCACAAUGGGCGCAAGCCUGAUGCAGCCAUGCCGCGUGUAUGAAGAAGGCCUUCGGGUUGUAAAGUACUUUCAGCGGGGAGGAAGGGAGUAAAGUUAAUACCUUUACUCAUUGACGUUACCCGCAGAAGAAGCACCGGCUAACUCCGUG
Molecule: ribosomal RNA, 490 nt
Filed under: uncultured bacterium
Lineage: Bacteria
Description: partial 16S ribosomal RNA
Rfam family: Bacterial small subunit ribosomal RNA
Source: RNAcentral